GCCCCCCGAAUUGUAGUCUAGAAACGCUCUAUCGGCCGCGUCCAUCGCUAAAAUCCCUUGGAAUAGGGUAUCGGAGAAGGUGAGAAUCCUGUGACGCGGUGGAUCGCGGCCAGUCGUUGAGCAGUUACAGAGUCGGGUUGCUUGGGAUUGCAGCUUGAAUUGGGAGGUAAAUUCCUUCUAAAGCUAAAUAUUGCAGCGAGACCGAUAGCGAACAAGUACCGUGAGGGAAAGAUGAAAAGAACUUUGAAAAGAGAGUUAAAGAGUGCUUGAAACCGACAAGGGGAAACCCGGUUGUGCCCGGUGUCGUGCAGUCGACUCAAUCUUUACGGAUGCACUUCUACUGUACGGGUCAGACGCCUCUCUGUGGGAGGGACAAUCAUCUGGGAGGCUUCGGCGAGCCAGUACCUACCUCGCAUGGGGCGCCGUCUGACGUAACGGGCACCACCGACCCGUCUAGAAACACGGACCAAGGAGUCUGACAUGGGCGCGAGUACUCGGGUGUCAAACCUGUGUGCGCAAUGAAAGUGAAGGGCGUGCCCCGCCAACCGACCUUGAUCUUCUGUGAAGGGUUUGAGUGGAGCGUUCCUGUCGGGACCCGAAAGAUGGUGAACUAUGCCUGUAUAGGUUGAAGUCUGCUGAAAGGCAGAUGGAGGGCCGUAGCGAUACUGACGUGCAAAUCGUUCGUCUAAUAUGGGUAUAGGGGCGAAAGACUAAUCGAACCAUCUAGUAGCUGGUUCCCUCCGAAGUUUCCCUCAGGAUAGCUUGAACGCCGACGGUUUUGU
Molecule: ribosomal RNA, 782 nt
Filed under: Haptophyta environmental samples
Lineage: Eukaryota; Haptophyta
Description: eukaryotic LSU rRNA
Rfam family: Eukaryotic large subunit ribosomal RNA
Source: RNAcentral